Long non-coding RNA from Leucoraja erinaceus (little skate), 2961 nucleotides. RefSeq lists it as uncharacterized. The record is from RefSeq and is a predicted model, not a curated record. NCBI's taxonomy places the organism in Eukaryota, Metazoa, Chordata, Chondrichthyes, Rajiformes, Rajidae. The transcript is spliced from 2 exons.
CCCCCCCCCCCCCCGACCCCCCAUAUAAAACAAGCUAAAGAACACUAAAACAUACAUUUAACACAUACUAUUAAACAACAAAGGAGGAAGGGACAGACAGACUGUUGGCGAGACAGCCAUUGCUGGCUCCACCCAGUUUCCUUCUUUACAAUAUGAGGCAGCUUAGUCUACUUCCUCAACGUGCUUCCCAUUGAAUGCAUAUGCUAAAGAAGUUACUUCUUUACUAAAACACAGAACAUGGAAUUUUACUUCGAAGUCACGUGAGUGACUACAUGAAGACCCCAUCCAGGCGCACACGCAUCAUAUCGUCAGACACAUAGCGGCUGUAACCGUGUAAGCGGUGAGUGAAAGAAAAAACCUGAAGGUAUGUACUUUUACUUUCACUUUCAGGCCACUUUCUUCCGUGGAGACUAUGUGCUGAGUACAGGCAAGUCUUAAACUAUGGAGAAAGGGGGAAAAAGUAAAGGCGCAAAUUGGGGGAAGGUUACAAUUCUUCCUAAAAGAAUGGCAAAAAAUAACAUCUGAUGCAUUUAUACUGUGCAGUAUUAUGGGGUUUAGAGUUGAAUUCUACCCACAUUUAUAUCCUCCUACUUAACAUGUUCCUAAGCGAACGCAUGUUUUCUCUAAAGAAGAGAAUAGAAACAUUCAAGCAGGGCUUGAAAUAUUAAGUAGGGAAGGGAUUAUUGAAAAGACAGUUUACCAAAACCACCAAUUUAUAUCUAGCAUAUUUCCUAGAGCAAAAAAGGAUGGUGGUUGUAUAAUCAUUCUUGAUUUAACAAGUCUUAACCCUUUUGUACAGUAUAAACAUUUCAAAAUGGAGACUUUUGCCAAUGCUAUGCAGCUAAUUUCAAGAGGAUGCUAUAUGGCCAGCAUAGAUCUGCAAGAUGCAUAUUACUCUGUGGCUGUGCAUGGCAAUGAUCGCUAAAUUGGGGUGGAAUGUUUUUAUAUGCAUUUCCUCCCUUUUGUCUCAUUAGUAGGUGUCUACAAAAGAUCAAGCAAAAUUCUGCUUCAGGAUUGUUGGUGGUCUCAGAUUGGCCUACACAACCAUGGUACCCAUUAGUGCUAAAAAUGGUCACAGAUCCUCUUAUGGAUUCUAAAAAGGCCAUAUCUCGUAAGAGGACUAUCAGAUCGCACUAUGCAGCAGCCUGGAGGGAUAGUACCCAGAAGCAGUACAUUUCUUACAUAAAGAAAUGGGAGGUGUUUUGCUCAAGGCAGAAUAUUUCAUACCACACUGCAGACAUCUCAGUGACUGUCAACUGACGUGCUUAGCCUGCAGAGAAUCCUUGGCAUGGUAAACUUGGAAAUAUUUAUUCCUAACUUCAGUGAAAUAUCGGCCCCACUGCGCCAGCUAACCCAUAAAGACACUAUUUGGGCCUGGUAUGAGCAACUUGCCUCUCUACACAGCAAGUAUUUUGACGCUGUCCAUUCGGGACACCCAGGCGCAGAAGCAACUGUCCUACGAGCAAAAAAACAUGUUUUACUGGCCUGGCAUGACUGAUUACAUUCAUGAGAAAGUGGAAUCCUGUGCAGUGUGCAACAGUUUGGUACCUCAUCAACAAAAGCAACCAUUUCUCUCACACCCGGUUCCUGCCCUCCCGUGGUCUACAGUGGCAACUGACAUAUUUGAGUGGCUUGGCAAGCAGUACCUGGUUCUUUUUUACUCCUAUUCCAGUUAUUUUGACAUCGAUCUUCUUAGUGGUCCCACUUCUCACAGGGUAGUUCUAAAGCUGGCUCACCAAUUCUCAGACCAUGGAGCUCCUUGUCAACUGCCAUCUGAUAAUGGCAGUCAAUUUACCAGCCAGCACUUCAAAGACUUCAGAUUCAGAUUCAGAUUCAAUUUAAUUGUCAUUGUCAGUGUACAGUACAGAGACAACGAAAUGCAUUAAAAACAGUCAAUUCCCAUACCGAGAGUCGAACCCGGGCCGCCUGGGUGAAAACCAGGAAUCCUAACCUAACUUUGCUGCACGCUGGGGUUUUCGUCACAUCAUCAGCAGCCCUGAAUAUCCUCAGUCGAAUGGGCUGGCUGAACGUGCCGUGAGGUGUGCCAAACAAUUAAUGGAACGAUCCCAUAGAGCAAAAUCAGAUGUGUACAUGGACCUGCGCAACAUCUCUCUCAACCCUAUCUUGGGUUCACCUGCUCAGCGUCUGUUGUCAAGGCAGACCCGAGCUACAUUGCCUGUGGCGAAUCAGGAACUAGUCCCGCAGGUGGUCCCACCAUCAGAGGUCCAGUCCAGGCUGCAGCAAAAUCGCCACAUUCAAAAAGGGUGGUAUGACAAAACGAGCAGACCACUUCCACCUUUAGCCGAGGGGCAAGUGGUGCGUCUGCAAACCGACAAAGGUCGCGACCGCAACGGCGUAAUUUCUGGAACUGCCCCAUAGCCACGUUCAUAAUUGGUCAAGGCCGAUGGCGGCACCACAGACAUAAUAGGCAACAUAUCCUGCCUGUGAAUGAGCCAGCACCACCUCCGUACUAUCCUGACUGCACAAGUGUACUUCCAUCCACAUCCAGCGGCAUCGGCCCGACUGCACCAGCAUGACAACCUGUUUCUGACUAGUUACUUCAUGGCCACGCCGCCUCCACCUGUACCUUUCCUGUUUCGUCACCAGGAAUGCCGUUUCAAUCUCCAACACCUAUUUCACCACCGAUUGUGUCCCCGGUGAUGGAUGGACUAUACCGUACACGUGUUGGUCGUAAUUGUAAGCCCACUGUAAAGUACCCGGUCUAUGUUUAAUCAUCCUCCAGUUUAUUGCCAUAUGCUAUGUAUGCUUUGUGUAGUCAGUAGUUUUGUAUUUGCAUUUAAUUCUUUAAGAGGGAGGAUGUAGAUUAGUGUCACUCACACUGUGGCUCCGCCCACAGGCUUAUUCGAGAGCUCUCUCUCUCUCACUGUUAAACAAGUUAUGCAUGCUGAGACGAAAGCUCUUUGAGUUACCUCUGCAGAGUUGCUAAUAAAAGACAAUGGA